This 460-nucleotide ribosomal RNA is filed under the name uncultured bacterium. Its description in RNAcentral is "partial 16S ribosomal RNA". It matches the Rfam family "Bacterial small subunit ribosomal RNA", at positions 338 to 795 of the family's 1533-position model. The record is from RNAcentral.
CCUACGGGAGGCGGCAGUGAGGAAUAUUGGUCAAUGGGCGCUAGCCUGACCCAGCCACGUAGCGUGAAGGAUGACUGCCCUAUGGGUUUUAACCUUCUUUUAUAUGGGAAUAAAGUGCUGCAUGUAUACUGGUUUGCAUGUGCCUUAUGAAUACGGAUCGGCUAACUCCGUGCCAGCAGCCGCGGUAAUACGGCGGUUCCGAGCGUUAUCCGGAUUUAUUGGGUUUAAAGGGAGCGUAGGCGGGUUGUUAAGUCAGUUGUGAAAGUUUGCGGCUCAAACGUAAGAUUGCAGUUGAUACUGGCAGUCUUGAGUACAGUAGAGGUAGGCGGAAUUCGUGGUGUAGCGGUGAAAUGCUUAGAUAUCACGAAGAACUCCGAUGGCGAAGGCAGCUUGCUGGACUGUAACUGACGCUGAUGCGCGAAAGCGUGGGGAGCAAACAGGAUUAGAUACCCGUGUAGUC